Non-coding RNA from Cinara cedri, 235 nucleotides. NCBI's taxonomy places the organism in Eukaryota, Metazoa, Arthropoda, Insecta, Hemiptera, Aphididae. The record is from the annotation of a GenBank genome assembly.
UUUUCAACAAUAUUUAUGUCAUAUUAUGGUAAAUUUCAAAUUAUUCCAGUUCUAAAAUUAAAAUGGAUCUCGAUGUUUUCCUACGUUUUUUCCGUUUUUCCUCCGUUUUCUUUUCGGUUUUUCACAUUUGUUGAGAAAAAUUCGGAGAAAAUCGAAAAACGACCUCUCUAAAGUACCCUUAUCAAGAUUUGUUCAGUCUAGUUAAGUACAAAGACUAUUAAGUAGAAAAUUCACG